RNAcentral lists this long non-coding RNA (213 nucleotides) under Homo sapiens (human). RNAcentral's name for it is "non-protein coding lnc-PRKAA2-2:2". Lineage: Eukaryota; Metazoa; Chordata; Mammalia; Primates; Hominidae. The record is from RNAcentral.
UGCGCGCACUCAGGGAAUAGAAUUGAGUACAUACUCUGGGAAAAUGGGCCACUGUUGGAACUGCCAUUUUAGAAGUCAUCCACAUAGAUAUAAGAGCAGAAGCCAGAAGAAAGUAUAAUACAGGGGAAAUCAUCAAGAGAGAGGAGGACAGGGCUAAGGAGAGCUCCUUAGAGAUACAUUUGGAGAAAAGAAUCAGGAAGAAAUAAAGAAAAG